This 310-nucleotide ribosomal RNA is filed under the name Rhipicephalus muhsamae. RNAcentral describes it as "partial small subunit ribosomal RNA". Lineage: Eukaryota; Metazoa; Arthropoda; Arachnida; Ixodida; Ixodidae. The record is from RNAcentral.
AAUGUUGGUAGUAAAUAUAAAUUAUGAAAGCAAAAAAUUAUGGCGGUAUUUUAAGCUUUUCAGAGGAAUUUGCUCUUUAAUGGAUAAACCACCUAAAUCUUACUAGAAUUUGUGAAAUCAAUUUGUACACCACUAUAAAAACAAUUAAUUCACUAUAAUUGUUUAAAUUUAUUAAAUUAAAUUAUGUUAAGUCAAGGCGCAGUAAAAAUUUAAGAAUGAAGUGAAUUACUUUUCUUUUUAGAGAAAUACUAUUAAAAAUAUAAAUAGGAUUGAAAGUAAAAUUAAAAUAGAAUGUUAAUUUAAAAAGGAC